RNAcentral lists this ribosomal RNA (208 nucleotides) under uncultured bacterium. RNAcentral describes it as "partial 16S ribosomal RNA". It matches the Rfam family "Bacterial small subunit ribosomal RNA", at positions 568 to 774 of the family's 1533-position model. The record is from RNAcentral.
CUCGUAGGUGGUUUGUCGCGUCGUCUGUGAAAUUCUGGGGCUUAACUCCGGGCGUGCAGGCGAUACGGGCAUAACUUGAGUGCUGUAGGGGAGAGUGGAAUUCCUGGUGUAGCGGUGAAAUGCGCAGAUAUCAGGAGGAACACCGAUGGCGAAGGCGGGUCUCUGGGCAGUAACUGACGCUGAGGAGCGAAAGCGUGGGUAGCGAACA